ACACCAAUUGAAGCCACUCAUCUCUCCUUUCUUCUCCGCGUCCAGCACCCACAAUCCUCUCCUCUCUUCGAAUUCCAACAACAGCCACCACCCACCAUUCCACUUCAGAGCCCGAACUCAUCGCCGAACCCUUCUCUCCUUUCUCUAUCUGUCGCCCUCUCUGUCCGAGCUCGAUUUGUCGCUGUGGGUCGCGCCGCUUCGCUGCUCGUCGUCGUGGGUCAUUGCCACUUCGCUGCUCCUCGCCGUGGGUCGUCGCCACUUCUCGGAUCCUUGCCGUGGUGGUCCUCGCCGCUUCUCUCCUCCUCGUCGUUUCUCCUUCUCCCCUCCUCGCUGGUGUCGUUUCUGCUUCUAUGCUCCGCACCGUGUCUCACCGUCAUUGCUUCUCUGUCGUGGCUUCUCUUUUUCGCGUGGAGUCUCGCAGUCGAAGCGGCUACCUUUUGUCUCUAGUCUCUGCUUCAACAUCGUAGGUCUCAGAUCUCAAGUUUCAAGUCUCUUCUUCUCUGCUUCAAGCCUUCAAUCCUCUCAGGCCUAAAAAAGUUCAGGUACGUGGGGCAACACAUUGAUGCUCAUUUGUGACAGCAGCAUCAAAAUGGUUCUUUAAUAAUCAAUUUUCUGUUCAUCAAGAACCAAUUUUAUGUUUUUGAAGUCUAAUUUUAUGGAGAAAUGUAACAGAUUGAUAGUGAAGAGACAAUUAAAUGUCUCAUAUAUCUUUGGAACUAAUUUGACCAAGUUAGUAAUAUAUAAAUUGAUGAUCAAUUUGAUGUCAAAGGCAUAUUUCACGGAUCAAAUAAACUUUGAUUAUUUGAAGGGCUUACUCAUGUUUUGAGCUGAA
Molecule: long non-coding RNA, 832 nt
Organism: Arachis duranensis
Lineage: Eukaryota; Viridiplantae; Streptophyta; Magnoliopsida; Fabales; Fabaceae
Exons: 2
Source: RefSeq, a predicted model, not a curated record